UACAGAGGGUGCGAGCGUUAAUCGGAUUUACUGGGCGUAAAGCGUGCGCAGGCGGCGCGUUAAGACAGGUGUGAAAGCCCCGGGCUUAACUUGGGAAUUGCGCUUGUGACUGGCGUGCUGGAGUGUGGCAGAGGAAGGUGGAAUUCCACGUGUAGCAGUGAAAUGCGUAGAGAUGUGGAGGAACACCGAUGGCGAAGGCAGCCUCCUGGGCCAACACUGACGCUCAGGCACGAAAGCGUGGGGAGCAAACAGG
RNAcentral lists this ribosomal RNA (253 nucleotides) under uncultured bacterium. RNAcentral describes it as "partial 16S ribosomal RNA". It matches the Rfam family "Bacterial small subunit ribosomal RNA", at positions 524 to 776 of the family's 1533-position model. The record is from RNAcentral.